GAUGAACGCUGGCUGUGUGCCUAAUACAUGCAUGUCGAACGAAGCACUUGUGCUUAGUGGCGAAUGGGUGAGUAACACGUACUUAAUCUGCCCUCAAGUCUGGGACAACAGUUGGAAACGACUGCUAAUACCGGAUACGGGUUGUUACCGCAUGGUAACUUCCUAAAAGGAGCGUUUGCUUCGCUAGAGGAUGAGAGUGCGUCAUAUUAGUUAGUUGGUAGGGUAAUGGCCUACCAAGACGAUGAUAUGUAGCGGGGUCGAGAGGCUGAACCGCCACACUGGGACUGAGAUACGGCCCAG
This 300-nucleotide ribosomal RNA is filed under the name uncultured Mycoplasma sp. RNAcentral's name for it is "bacterial SSU rRNA". It matches the Rfam family "Bacterial small subunit ribosomal RNA", at positions 28 to 334 of the family's 1533-position model. The record is from RNAcentral. Lineage: Bacteria; Bacillati; Mycoplasmatota; Mollicutes; Mycoplasmatales; Mycoplasmataceae.